GAUGAAGAACGUAGCGAAAUGCGAUACGUAAUGUGAAUUGCAAAUUCAGUGAAUCACCGAGUCUUUGAACGCACAUUGCGCCCCCUGGUAUUCCGGGGGGCAUGCCUGUCCGAGCGUCAUUGCUGCCCUCAAGCACGGCUUGUGUGUUGGGCCCCGUCCUCCGAUCCCGGGGGACGGGCCCGAAAGGCAGCGGCGGCACCGCGUCCGGUCCUCGAGCGUAUGGGGCUUUGUCACCCGCUCUGUAGGCCCGGCCGGCGCUUGCCGAUCAACCCAAAUUUUUAUCCAGGUUGACCUCGGAUCAGGUAGGGAUACCCGCUGAACUUAAGCAUAUCAAUAAGCGGAGGA
RNAcentral lists this unclassified non-coding RNA (345 nucleotides) under soil metagenome. RNAcentral's name for it is "partial contains 5.8S ribosomal RNA, internal transcribed spacer 2, and large subunit ribosomal RNA". The stretch from base 1 to 119 matches the Rfam family "5.8S ribosomal RNA", at positions 35 to 154 of the family's 154-position model. The record is from RNAcentral.